AUUGAACGCUGGCGGCAUGCCUAACACAUGCAAGUCGAACGGCAGCACAAUAAAGAUUUCGGUCUUUACGGGUGGCGAGUGGCGGACGGGUGAGUAACGCGUAGGAAUCUGUCCUGGAGAGUGGGAUAACCCGAGGAAACUCGGGCUAAUACUGCAUGACAUUGAGAGAUCAAAUGCAGGGGACCGAAAGGCCUUGCGCUCGGGGGUGAGCCUACGUCGGAUUAGCUAGUUGGUGGGGUAAAGGCCUACCAAGGCGACGAUCCGUAGCUGGUCUGAGAGGAUGACCAGCCACACUGGGACUGAGACACGGCCCAGACUCCUACGGGAGGCAGCAGUGGGGAAUCUUGGACAAUGGGGGAAACCCUGAUCCAGCGAUGCCGCGUGUGUGAAGAAGGCCUUCGGGUUGUAAAGCACUUUAGGUGGGGAAGAAAGGUAGCGAGUGAGUAACUUUCUGCUGUGACGGUACCCACAGAAUAAGCACCGGCUAACUCUGUGCCAGCCGCCGCCGUAA
Molecule: ribosomal RNA, 511 nt
Filed under: uncultured bacterium
Lineage: Bacteria
Description: partial 16S ribosomal RNA
Rfam family: Bacterial small subunit ribosomal RNA
Source: RNAcentral